RNAcentral lists this ribosomal RNA (1533 nucleotides) under metagenome. RNAcentral's name for it is "bacterial SSU rRNA". It matches the Rfam family "Bacterial small subunit ribosomal RNA". The record is from RNAcentral.
AGAGUUUGAUUCUGGCUCAGAACGAACGCUGGCAGCGUGGAUUAGGCAUGCAAGUCGAACGUGAAGCCGUUGAACAAUCUUUCGGGAGAGUGAUUCGGUGGAGAGUGGCGGAAGGGUGAGUAACGCGUGGGUGAGCUGUCUCGAAGUAGGGGACAACCAGAUGAAAAUCUGGCUAAUACCGAAUGUGGUCUUCUGGCGCAUGCCAGGAUGACUAAAGGUGGGGAUUCUUCGGAACCUGCCGCUUUGAGAGGUGCCCGCGUGCCAUCAGCUUGUUGGUAGGGUAAUGGCCUACCAAGGCUUACGGCUAGCCGGCCUGAGAGGGUGAUCGGCCACACUGGGACUGAGACACUGCCCAGACUCCUACGGGAGGCUGCAGUCGAGGAUCAUUCGCAAUGCGCGAAAGCGUGACGAUGCGACGCUGCGUGGGGGAUGAAGGCCUUCGGGUCGUAAACUCCUGUCAUGAGGGAACAGUAUCCCUGUAAUUAAUAGUUGCGGGGCUCGAUGGUACCUCAAGAGGAAGCCACGGCUAACUCUGUGCCAGCAGCCGCGGUAAUACAGAGGUGGCGAGCGUUGUUCGGAUUUACUGGGCGUAAAGGGUGCGUAGGUGGUUUUGUGUGUCGGAUGUGAAAUCCCAUGGCUCAACUGUGGAAUUGCAUUCGAAACUGCGGAACUAGAGUGCAGGAUGGGAGAGCGGAAUUCUUGGUGUAGCGGCGAAAUGCGUUGAUAUCAAGAAGAACACCGGUGGCGAAGGCGGCUCUCUGGAAUGCUACUGACACUGAGGCACGAAAGCUGGGGGAGCGAACAGGAUUAGAUACCCUGGUAGUCCCAGCCGUAAACGGUGCACACUUGGUGUGGGGAGAUUUAACCCUCUCCGUGCCGGAGUUAACGCGUUAAGUGUGCCGCCUGGGGAGUACGGCCGCAAGGCUAAAACUCAAAGAAAUUGACGGGGGCCCGCACAAGCGGAGGAGCAUGUGGCUUAAUUCGAUGCAACGCGAAGAACCUUACCAGGGCUUGACAUGGGGACCCUUCGGGGGUGGUAGCGAAAGUUACCUUUACCAUCACAGGUGCUGCAUGGCUGUCGUCAGUUCGUGCCGUGAGGUGUUGGGUUAAGUCCCGUAACGAACGCAACCCUUGUGGCUAGUUGCCACCGGUGGUGAUGAGCCGCCGAGCACUCUAGCCAGACUGCCCGUACAAGCGGGAGGAAGGUGGGGAUGACGUCAAGUCAGUAUGGCCCUUACGUCCUGGGCUGCACACGUGCUACAAUGGUCGGUACAGUGGGAUGCAAUACCGCGAGGUGGAGCAAAUCCCCAAAGCCGCCCUCAGUUCGGAUUGAAGUCUGCAACUCGACUUCAUGAAGUUGGAUUCGCUAGUAACGGCGCAUCAGCUACGGCGCCGUGAAUACGUUCCCGGGCCUUGUACACACCGCCCGUCACAUCAUGAAAGCCGUCUGCACCCGAAGUCGCUGAGCCAACCAUUUAUGGAGGCAGGUGCCGAAGGUGUGGGUGGUGAUUGGGAUGAAGUCGUAACAAGGUA